ACGGAGGGUGCAAGCGUUAUCCGGAAUCAUUGGGUUUAAAGGGUCCGCAGGCGGGCGUAUAAGUCAGUGGUGAAAUCUCUCGGCUUAACCGAGAAACUGCCAUUGAUACUGUACGUCUUGAAUUCGGUCGAAGUGGGCGGAAUAUGACAUGUAGCGGUGAAAUGCUUAGAUAUGUCAUAGAACACCGAUAGCGAAGGCAGCUCACUAGGCCUGGAUUGACGCUCAGGGACGAAAGCGUGGGGAGCGAACAGG
Molecule: ribosomal RNA, 252 nt
Filed under: uncultured bacterium
Lineage: Bacteria
Description: partial 16S ribosomal RNA
Rfam family: Bacterial small subunit ribosomal RNA
Source: RNAcentral